This 497-nucleotide ribosomal RNA is filed under the name uncultured bacterium. RNAcentral describes it as "partial 16S ribosomal RNA". It matches the Rfam family "Bacterial small subunit ribosomal RNA", at positions 28 to 507 of the family's 1533-position model. The record is from RNAcentral.
GAUGAACGCUGGCGGCAUGCCUAAUACAUGCAAGUCGAGCGAACAGACGAGGAGCUUGCUCCUCUGACGUUAGCGGCGGACGGGUGAGUAACACGUGGAUAACCUACCUAUAAGACUGGGAUAACUUCGGGAAACCGGAGCUAAUACCGGAUAAUAUAUUGCACCGCAUGGUUCAAUAGUGAAAGACGGUUUUGCUGUCACUUAUAGAUGGCUCCGCGCCGCAUUAGCUAGUUGGUAAGGUAACGGCUUACCAAGGCAACGAUGCGUAGCCGACCUGAGAGGGUGCUCGGCCACACGGGAACUGAGACACGGUCCAGACUCCUACGGGAGGCAGCAGUAGGGAAUCUUCCGCAAUGGGCGAAAGCCUGACGGAGCAACGCCGCGUGAGUGAUGAAGGUCUUCGGAUCGUAAAACUCUGUUAUUAGGGAAGAACAAAUGUGUAAGUAACUAUGCACGUCUUGACGGUACCUAAUCAGAAAGCCACGGCUAACUACGUG